GCUCCGUUAGCUUAAUUGGUUAGAGCGGCAGGUUUAUACCCUGUUUAGUGCCUGAUAAGCACGAGGUUGGGGGUUCAAGUCCCUCACGGAGUA
Molecule: transfer RNA, 93 nt
Filed under: Caudoviricetes sp.
Lineage: Duplodnaviria; Heunggongvirae; Uroviricota; Caudoviricetes
Description: tRNA-Ile
Rfam family: tRNA
About the family: Transfer RNA (tRNA) molecules are approximately 80 nucleotides in length. Their secondary structure includes four short double-helical elements and three loops (D, anti-codon, and T loops). Further hydrogen bonds mediate the characteristic L-shaped molecular structure. tRNAs have two regions of fundamental functional importance: the anti-codon, which is responsible for specific mRNA codon recognition, and the 3' end, to which the tRNAs corresponding amino acid is attached (by aminoacyl-tRNA synthetases). tRNAs cope with the degeneracy of the genetic code in two manners: having more than one tRNA (with a specific anti-codon) for a particular amino acid; and 'wobble' base-pairing, i.e. permitting non-standard base-pairing at the 3rd anti-codon position.
Source: RNAcentral